UAAAGUGGCGCACGGGUGAGUAACGCGUGGAUAAUCUGCCUUCAAGUAGGGAAUAACAUUGCGAAAGCGAUGCUAAUACCGUAUAAGCUCACGAUUUGAUUGGUUGUGGGAAAAGAUGGCCUCUGUAUAUGCUAUCGCUUGAAGAUGAGUCCGCAUACCAUUAGCUUGUUGGUAGGGUAAUGGCCUACCAAGGCUUCGAUGGUUAGCUGGCCUGAGAGGGCGGCCAGCCACACUGGAACUGAGACACGGUCCAGACUCCUACGGGAGGCAGCAGUGGGGAAUAUUGCGCAAUGGGGGAAACCCUGACGCAGCGACGCCGUGUGAGUGAUGAAGGUUUUCGGAUCGUAAAGCUCUGUCGGGUGGGAAGAAUAAGGGCUGUGUAAAUAAUGCAGUCUGAUGACGGUACCACCAAAGGAAGCACCGGCUAACUCCGUGCCAGCAGCCGCGGUAAUACGGAGGGUGCAAGCGUUGUUCGGAAUUAUUUGGGCGUAAAGGGCGUGUAGGCCGGGUAU
RNAcentral lists this ribosomal RNA (512 nucleotides) under uncultured bacterium. RNAcentral's name for it is "bacterial SSU rRNA". It matches the Rfam family "Bacterial small subunit ribosomal RNA", at positions 91 to 583 of the family's 1533-position model. The record is from RNAcentral.